This 314-nucleotide ribosomal RNA is filed under the name uncultured bacterium. RNAcentral describes it as "bacterial SSU rRNA". It matches the Rfam family "Bacterial small subunit ribosomal RNA", at positions 28 to 334 of the family's 1533-position model. The record is from RNAcentral.
GAUGAACGCUAGCGAUAGGCUUAACACAUGCAAGUCGAGGGGUAACAUGAUUGAAGCUUGCUUCAAUUGAUGACGACCGGCGCACGGGUGCGUAACACGUAUGCAACCUACCUAUAAAUGAGGAAUAACCCGGAGAAAUUCGGACUAAUACCUCAUAGUAUUUAGAAGAGGCAUCUCUUUUAUCUUAAAGAAUUUCGUUUAUAGAUGGGCAUGCGCAUGAUUAGUUAGUUGGCGGGGUAACGGCCCACCAAGACAACGAUCAUUAGGGGUUCUGAGAGGAAGAUCCCCCACACUGGUACUGAGACACGGACCAG